UUGGAGGGCAAGUCUGGUGCCAGCAGCCGCGGUAAUUCCAGCUCCAAUAGCGUAUAUUAAAGUUGUUGCAGUUAAAAAGCUCGUAGUUGAAUUUCGGGAUCAAUAUGUCGGUCGUGCCUCCGGUACGUACUGGCGUUAUUGGUUUCUCCCUUCUGACGAACCACGAUGUCAUUAAUUUGGUGUCAUGGGGAAUCAGGACUGUUACUUUGAAAAAAUUAGAGUGUUUAAAGCAGGCUCACGCUUGAAUACAUUAGCAUGGAAUAAUGAAAUAGGACGUUUGAUUCUAUUUUGUUGGUUUCUAGGAUCGACGUAAUGAUUAAUAGGGAUAGUUGGGGGCAUUAGUAUUCAAUUGUCAGAGGUGAAAUUCUUGGAUUUAUUGAAGACUAACUACUGCGAAAGCAUUUGCCAAGGAUGUUUUCAUUAAUCAAGAACGAAAGUUAGGGGAUCGAAGACGAUCAGAUACCGUCGUAGUCUUAACCAUAAACUAUGCCGACUAGGGAUCGGAUGAUGUUAAUUUUUUAAUGACUCAUUCGGCACCUUACGGGAAAC
Molecule: ribosomal RNA, 549 nt
Filed under: uncultured Glomus
Lineage: Eukaryota; Fungi; Glomeromycota; Glomeromycetes; Glomerales; Glomeraceae
Description: SSU rRNA
Rfam family: Eukaryotic small subunit ribosomal RNA
Source: RNAcentral